Vidua macroura (Pin-tailed whydah) is the source of this 849-nucleotide long non-coding RNA. RefSeq lists it as uncharacterized. The record is from RefSeq and is a predicted model, not a curated record. The transcript is spliced from 3 exons. Lineage: Eukaryota; Metazoa; Chordata; Aves; Passeriformes; Viduidae.
CCUGCACUCACCAUGUGCUGAUGUUGCUGCUCUUUUGGCUAGCCCUGACCUAUCAAUGUUCCCUGUGAGAUUGCUUUUCUCUGUCUAGUCUGAUUCUGCUAUUGAUCCUGUUCUGGCAUUAACCUUUUCCAGCUCUGCCAUGACAUGUCUCCAUUGCAGAUUUUAAUUAUUCUCAUGUUCCUAAGUUGUCUGAAACCCUGCUACCUGCUGAGUUUUUUGGAACUGAUGUGAGAGCAGAAGCUCAGCUCUCCAGUAGUUUAAGGUGCUGUGGUAUCUUCCCAAUGCCAAAUACCCUGCCUAGUUAUAUCUGUCUGUAUGUGGAGACAGUAAGAAUGUCACCAAAGCAGAAUUAUAAAGCUUGUCCAGCUCAGUGGAGGAACAGGAGUGCCCGCAGGCCCCACAGCGCCAUGCUGUGGUAACACCUCUGCUUGGAAAGCAGUCAGCUCCAGCAGUGCGGGUUUGCAGCCAAAAGGAACCUCUUCAGCCCUGCCCCUUCAGGAUUCACUCCGUGUCAGUGUACGAGCUAUGCCAUUUGCUUGGGCACAUCCCACACGGUGCUAAGUGACAGCAAGGUGGAGGGCAGGACUGCACAGAGGUGUUUGUCCUUAAUACUUGCCUCCAUGGACAGAGGAUCUCCAAGCACUGGACAAACCUGCUGUAACCUACAGGGGAUAAACAGUGCCUGAUGGAGAACAUGGUGGACAGAGAAACGGGGGAUUCUGCAGAGGGCAGCUGCAGAGACUGUACCGUAGGAGCUGGGAGAGAAGAGAGGGAAUGGAUCCCUAACCCUGAAUCCCUCCCAUCCUGAUUUACACAAAUGUAACUGUUGGAGUCAGUGCAAUUACAUUA